CUUUUGCUACGUGGCCCACUGGGAUUGGCUGAGCUUGGGAGUGCUUCCGCAUUUGGUGACCUAUCUGCUUUUGCUACAUGGCCCAUUGAGAUUGGCUAAGCUUGAGAGUUCUUAACGGCCGAGGGUGUUGCCCUGGGGGUUAGAAGUUUGUUCAAGGUUCCUGAAUAAACCACCAAAAGAAGAGCUCAUGGGUCGCGUCUUUCUUGCUGGUCAAGGCAGACCCGACAGUCUGGCUCCAAUGAACUCUUUCUUCUAGGGGAAACUGGGAAAGGAGAUAUCAUAUGACAUAGACCCUGGUGGUAUGAGCGCUCACUGUCCAACCUGAGGUAAUGAACCAACCAAUCAGAGCUGAUAGGCUUUCACUGGUAAGAAACCUUCAUCAACAUUGCCAUAAUUAAGUAUUCGAAGUGAGCAUCUGUAGGGAGCAGCUAGAAAAUCAUCAGUCAGUUCUGACAUACUGUUGCCAAAGACAAGUAACCUGAAUCGCAUAGCUACAAUCACGCUGAGGGACCCCAAAUGGAACGACUGUCACAUUCACAAAUGUCAGGGCUGCAGAAGUCACGGAAAGCCAAAGAAUCACAUCAGGCGGAAGGAGGGGAAACAGAAGAAGUAACAGAAAAAAAGAUGGAGAAAUACCUUCACUCACAAGUGAGAGGGAGCAAGAGUCCAAGGAGUUUGCAGAGGGCUUGGG
Long non-coding RNA from Mastomys coucha (southern multimammate mouse), 691 nucleotides. RefSeq lists it as uncharacterized. The record is from RefSeq and is a predicted model, not a curated record. The transcript is spliced from 5 exons. Lineage: Eukaryota; Metazoa; Chordata; Mammalia; Rodentia; Muridae.